CGCGAUCUCCAACAAACCGAUCCGGCGAACAGACUUCCCGUCGAGGCAGCCUACGGCCACUUCCGCCGCCGAUGCUACGACUGAGGAGCAUACGGAGAGUCUUCCGUCGGCGGAGGUGAAUAACUGGGCUUGUUGUUGGACUCCGGGUUGGACUUCCUGCUACUGCACAUUGAGUUGCGAGAAGCUUGAAUUUCUGCAAAGUAGCCAUUUUCGUUGCGAUCUGAGGUACGUAUUUCGACAAAUUUUAACUAUUGUUUUUUUGGUUAGCAAAAAUGGUAGUGAAGAUGGGGGG
RNAcentral lists this unclassified non-coding RNA (292 nucleotides) under Hevea brasiliensis (rubber tree). The record is from RNAcentral. Lineage: Eukaryota; Viridiplantae; Streptophyta; Magnoliopsida; Malpighiales; Euphorbiaceae.